Non-coding RNA from Leptonychotes weddellii (Weddell seal), 318 nucleotides. Lineage: Eukaryota; Metazoa; Chordata; Mammalia; Carnivora; Phocidae. The record is from RefSeq and is a predicted model, not a curated record.
UUUUGUUGAAAGAGUCAUUAACAGUUGGAAGUUGAUGGCAGUUUCAGUAACAAGUGAUCACCGAGAAAAGGAUAACGCUAUAAUAUGCAGAAAUCUACGAAUUCUGAUACCUCUGUGGAAACACUGAAUUCCACCCGUCAAGGCACCGGAGCUGUGCAAAUGAGAAUCAAAAAUGCCAACAGCCACCACGACAGGCUGAGCCAAAGUAAAUCCAUGAUCCUCACCGAUGUUGGGAAGGUCAUUGAACCCAUAUCCCGACACAGAAGGAAUCAUUCACAGCAUGUCUUGAAAGAUGUCAUUCCUCCAUUGGAACAAUUG